GUGCCAGCAGCCGCGGUAAUACGGAGGAUGCGAGCGUUAUCCGGAUUUAUUGGGUUUAAAGGGUGCGUAGGUGGUGAUUUAAGUCAGCGGUGAAAGUUUGUGGCUCAACCAUAAAAUUGCCGUUGAAACUGGGUUACUUGAGUGUGUUUGAGGUAGGCGGAAUGCGUGGUGUAGCGGUGAAAUGCAUAGAUAUCACGCAGAACUCCGAUUGCGAAGGCAGCUUACUAAACCAUAACUGACACUGAAGCACGAAAGCGUGGGGAUCAAACAGGAUUAGAAACCCGAGUAGUCC
This 292-nucleotide ribosomal RNA is filed under the name uncultured bacterium. RNAcentral's name for it is "partial 16S ribosomal RNA". It matches the Rfam family "Bacterial small subunit ribosomal RNA", at positions 505 to 796 of the family's 1533-position model. The record is from RNAcentral.